This 433-nucleotide ribosomal RNA is filed under the name uncultured bacterium. RNAcentral describes it as "partial 16S ribosomal RNA". It matches the Rfam family "Bacterial small subunit ribosomal RNA", at positions 29 to 506 of the family's 1533-position model. The record is from RNAcentral.
AGCGAACGCUGGCGGCAGGCCUAACACAUGCAAGUCGAACGAACCUUUCGGGGUUAGUGGCGGACGGGUGAGUAACACGUGGGAACGUGCCUUUAGGUUCGGAAUAACUCAGGGAAACUUGUGCUAAUACCGAAUGUGCCCUUCGGGGGAAAGAUUUAUCGCCUUUAGAGCGGCCCGCGUCUGAUUAGCUAGUUGGUUGAGGUAAUGGCUCACCAAGGCGACGAUCAGUAGCUGGUCUGAGAGGAUGAUCAGCCACAUUGGGACUGAGACACGGCCCAAACUCCUACGGGGGGCAGCAGGGGGGAAUUUUGCGAAAGGGGCGAAAGCCUGACCCAGCCAUGCCGGGUGAAUGAUGAAGGUCUUAGGAUUGUAAAAUUCUUUCCCCGGGGACGAUAAUGACGGGACCCGGAGAAGAAACCCCGGCCACCUGCGU